RNAcentral lists this ribosomal RNA (475 nucleotides) under uncultured soil bacterium. RNAcentral describes it as "bacterial SSU rRNA". It matches the Rfam family "Bacterial small subunit ribosomal RNA", at positions 8 to 477 of the family's 1533-position model. The record is from RNAcentral.
AGAGUUUGAUCCUGGCUCAGGAUGAACGCUAGCGGCAGGCCUAAUACAUGCAAGUCGAGGGGCAGCGGGAGUAGCAAUACUUGCCGGCGACCGGCGCACGGGUGCGUAACGCGUAUGCAACCUACCUUUUACAGGAGAAUAGCCCGGAGAAAUUCGGAUUAAUACUCCAUAACAUCAUAUGAGAGCAUUUGAGUAUGAUUAAAGUUCCGACGGUAAAAGAUGGGCAUGCGUGACAUUAGCUAGUUGGUGAGGUAAAGGCUCACCAAGGCGACGAUGUCUAAGGGAUCUGAGAGGACUACCCCCCACACUGGUACUGAGACACGGACCAGACUCCUACGGGAGGCAGCAGUAAGGAAUAUUGGUCAAUGGAAGCAACUCUGAACCAGCCAUGCCGCGUGCAGGAAGACGGACCUAUGGUUUAGUAAACUGCUUUUGUAUGGGAGAAAACUCCCGCUCGUGAGCGGGACUGAUAGUA